UUUUAAUCCAAAAUGUUGAUAACCAGUGUUUUCAAGGGACCAUCUCUUCUCUUGGAGAAAGUCUUAUGUUGCCAGAGACCCUUCUGAAGGCUUAGCAUCUCCUGGCCACCUUUUGAUCUCAAUACAUCUCAGAAUUUUGUGGACAAAACAUCUGUAGUGGAUUAGGCAAAAGACAUUUCUGCUUUGGGAAAUGGUAGCUUUUGCUUGAGUCAGAUAUUUGUACUCCUAGUGUCAGUAUCUGCUUUCCUCUAUAAAGGCAAAGACAACACUUCUCUCCGGGGAUCAAAGGCAAAAGUUCCUGUGUAGAUCCUUUUGCUCUGAUCUUUCCCUUUUGCAUGUUUAACUUAUUUGUGUCUGAAGUAGAUAGAAGGAGAGCUGUCAGAAUUUAAAUCAAAACUUAUGAGGCAUUGCGGAACAAGAGAAACAUCUUCUCUUAGGAUAGCAUUGACUCCUUUUGGGUCAAAAGAAGGAAAAGCAAGUGGGAUUGGUUUCACUACAUCCGCUAUCAUCUUGGUCUUUAAGUUAUUGGGAGGAAUAUGGAGAGCAGACACCCAGCCAUCACAAAGCAAUAUGUACGUAUGUGUAUUCACAUGCCCACACUGUGCCAGAGUAGCUGAUGUAAGAACAGAAGUGUGAGGGAGGACUCAUCAACCCUGUGAAAUGAACAUGGAAAGGGACUGCCUGGCUUUUGAGUCUACUUGGAGUGGUGGGUGGAAUUGGUUUGCGUUGUCAGUGUUUUGUUUUUGUUGGGGGAAUUUUAAGUUUCAGCCCAGAUUUCUCUGUGUCUGACUUGGGCUCUUGUAUCUGAAUUAUGUUAUUGAAGGGGUGAAUGAGAGUUGGUUCCUUGAUAGUUUUAUUAGACAAACUGUUACUGAUACCUUAUCCACUUUACAGUAUUGCCAAUCCCAUUUCCACGCUCUUCUGAUCUGAUAAGUGCAUUUGUGUUAUCAACAACUCAAACUUCUAUAGAAGGGAGCACAGAGCCUCUGUCAAGUUGGAAUCCCUCUUUAGUCUGUGAUCCACAACAUGUGAUUACUUUUGUAUGCAGUGUUUUCAGCUCACUGAGAAAGAUGACAGUUUCAGCCUUUGCACAUUUUUUCUUGACUUUUUUGUUUGUUUAAAAUUUUUCUUUCUUUUCUGGACGAGCAAUCUAAAAUCGUCAGUAAAAGUGAUAUAUUACCUAGGAAUUAUGCCAUUGUUUUGUUUGGAGUUUACCUUUAUAAUUAUUUCUGUCAGCCUCUGGAAAUUGGCUAAAUUUUCACAUACUUUGGUUUUCUAAGUUCCUGUGGUUUGUAAAGUAUAAGUGGAUUAUUACUCUAGCGCAUUCUGUACUAGACUCCCUUCUUGUUUGAAUUUAGCCUAAAUACAGAAUACAUAGCACUGGUCUGCUCUAAACAGAGAUCAAAUGCAGGUAGUGAAGAGAAGCAAUUUAUUGCCACUAGUUCACCCUCUGUAACAAGGAAGAUAUUUAAUUUGUGUCCUUCAGAAUAGAUAGAUCUGUACUGAUGCAAACUGGCUUAUUCCUCUAACAGAGCACUUACUGGCCAUAAAGUAGUGAGAUGGAAGGAUAGCAAAAGUAGUGGCCCAGCAUUUAAGAAAAUAAAUAAAUUCUGACGAGCUUCGUAUUCGGCUUAUCUAAGGUCAAAGAUGAAAGCUUUCAUCAAGUAAAACAAAUACAAGUAAAGGGAAUUCCAUUUGAAGGAGAAAGGUGGAACUGUUAGAAUGGUGGUUGGUUUUUAAAUAAUGUCACUGAGUUUUGAAGGAUUUGAAAAUCCAAAUGCAUUCAAAAGCAGGCAAAAGAUUGGGCAGCGGAUCAGGUGAGUAAUGGAGCAUGUUAUGUACCUUCUCACUUCAUCAUUUGUUGCUGCUCAUAGGAAGUUGGCCCAUAGUGGCUGAGGGCAAAAUACACUGCUUACAAGAUUGUUUGGGAUUAUAGGAUAACAUCUCUCAUCUUUUUCUAACCAGCCCCAUUCAUUUCUGUCAUCCACAUUACUGACCAUUUGGAUGUAAGAGAAGAAAGAGUUAGAACAGAAC
Molecule: long non-coding RNA, 2034 nt
Filed under: Gallus gallus (chicken)
Lineage: Eukaryota; Metazoa; Chordata; Aves; Galliformes; Phasianidae
Description: lncRNA (ENSGALG00010026729.1)
Source: RNAcentral